This 340-nucleotide unclassified non-coding RNA is filed under the name soil metagenome. Its description in RNAcentral is "partial contains 5.8S ribosomal RNA, internal transcribed spacer 2, and large subunit ribosomal RNA". The stretch from base 1 to 120 matches the Rfam family "5.8S ribosomal RNA", at positions 35 to 154 of the family's 154-position model. The record is from RNAcentral.
GAUGAAGAACGUAGCGAAAUGCGAUAAGUAAUGUGAAUUGCAGAAUUCAGUGAAUCAUCGAAUCUUUGAACGCACAUUGCGCCCGCCAGCAUUCUGGCGGGCAUGCCUGUUCGAGCGUCAUUUCAACCCUCGAGCCCCCCCGGGGGCCUCGGUGUUGGGGGACGGCACACCAGCCGCCCCCGAAAUGCAGUGGCGACCCCGCCGCAGCCUCCCCUGCGUAGUAGCACACACCUCGCACCGGAGCGCGGAGGCGGUCACGCCGUAAAACGCCCAACUUUCUUAGAGUUGACCUCGGAUCAGGUAGGAAUACCCGCUGAACUUAAGCAUAUCAAGCGGAGGA